This 110-nucleotide ribosomal RNA is filed under the name uncultured bacterium. RNAcentral's name for it is "partial 16S ribosomal RNA". It matches the Rfam family "Bacterial small subunit ribosomal RNA", at positions 1373 to 1482 of the family's 1533-position model. The record is from RNAcentral.
CCCGGGUCUUGUACACACCGCCCGUCACACCAUGGGAGCGGGUUCUGCCAGAAGUAGUUAGCCUAACCGCAAGGAGGGCGAUUACCACGGCAGGGUUCGUGACUGGGGUU